This 469-nucleotide ribosomal RNA is filed under the name uncultured bacterium. RNAcentral's name for it is "partial 16S ribosomal RNA". It matches the Rfam family "Bacterial small subunit ribosomal RNA", at positions 28 to 507 of the family's 1533-position model. The record is from RNAcentral.
GACGAACGCUGGCGGCGUGCUUAACACAUGCAAGUCGAACGGUGAAGCCUUAGCUUGCUGUGGUGGAUUAGUGGCGAACGGGUGAGUAACACGUGAGCAACGUGCCCAGGACUCUGGAAUAACCUCGGGAAACCGUGGCUAAUACCGGAUAGGUGCCGAUGCCGCAUGGUCUUCGGUGGGAAAGUUUUUGCGGUUCUGGAUCGGCUCGCGGCCUAUCAGCUUGUUGGUGGGGUGAUGGCCUACCAAGGCGACGACGGGUAGCCGGCCUGAGAGGGUGACCGGCCACACUGGGACUGAGACACGGCCCAGACUCCUACGGGAGGCAGCAGUGGGGAAUAUUGCACAAUGGGCGCAAGCCUGAUGCAGCAACGCCGCGUGGGGGAUGACGGCCUUCGGGUUGUAAACCUCUUUUAGUAGGGAAGAAGCGCAAGUGACGGUACCUGCAGAAAAAGCACCGGCUAACUACGUG